Molecule: long non-coding RNA, 350 nt
Organism: Vidua macroura (Pin-tailed whydah)
Lineage: Eukaryota; Metazoa; Chordata; Aves; Passeriformes; Viduidae
Exons: 2
Source: RefSeq, a predicted model, not a curated record
CCGCCCGUUCCGUGGCCACGCCCACCGCGGCGGGGCUUGAGAGGCCGGGCGGGCGCUGCCUGCGGGGCUGCGCGCUGUGAGGGGAAGGCGCCGCGAGCUUUCGGAGACACCGGACAGAACCCGGAGACGCCGACUCUGACCGCGUGCAGUUUCCAGAGUGUUUCCAUCCUGUGGCGCCUCCACAGCCAUGCCAAUCUGCAUCCUAAAAAGUGGCCGGGACUUGACUCGCGCUCGUCUGGUCUGAAGGCGUUUUCAGAACUCACUAUUCUAAUUGUUAGGAAUCAUCUUCUCAUUUCCAGCUUAAUUUGAUGCACGGUUAAUAAACAUUUGUUCCUGUGCCAGCAUUGUAA